Molecule: ribosomal RNA, 460 nt
Filed under: uncultured bacterium
Lineage: Bacteria
Description: partial 16S ribosomal RNA
Rfam family: Bacterial small subunit ribosomal RNA
Source: RNAcentral
CCUACGGGUGGCAGCAGUGAGGAAUAUUGGUCAAUGGCCGUAAGGCUGAACCAGCCAAGUCGCGUGAAGGAAGAAGGAUCUAUGGUUUGUAAACUUCUUUUAUAUGGGAAUAAAAUGUUCCACGUGUGGGAUUUUGUAUGUACCAUAUGAAUAAGGAUCGGCUAACUCCGUGCCAGCAGCCGCGGUAAUACGGAGGAUCCGAGCGUUAUCCGGAUUUAUUGGGUUUAAAGGGAGCGUAGGUGGAUUGUUAAGUCAGUUGUGAAAGUUUGCGGCUCAACCGUAAAAUUGCAGUUGAAACUGGCAGUCUUGAGUACAGUAGAGGUGGGCGGAAUUCGUGGUGUAGCGGUGAAAUGCUUAGAUAUCACGAAGAACUCCGAUUGCGAAGGCAGCUCACUGGACUGCAACUGACACUGAGGCUCGAAAGUGUGGGUAUCAAACAGGAUUAGAUACCCGUGUAGUC